RNAcentral lists this transfer RNA (75 nucleotides) under Desulfurispirillum indicum S5. It matches the Rfam family "tRNA". Rfam says of the family: Transfer RNA (tRNA) molecules are approximately 80 nucleotides in length. The record is from Rfam by way of RNAcentral. Lineage: Bacteria; Pseudomonadati; Chrysiogenota; Chrysiogenia; Chrysiogenales; Chrysiogenaceae. RNAcentral also lists the same sequence under 1 other name.
GGCCCUAUAGCUCAGGUGGAUAGAGCACCGGUUUCCUAAACCGGGUUAGCCCAGGUUCGAGUCCUGGUAGGGCCA